RNAcentral lists this ribosomal RNA (429 nucleotides) under uncultured bacterium. RNAcentral describes it as "bacterial SSU rRNA". It matches the Rfam family "Bacterial small subunit ribosomal RNA", at positions 355 to 776 of the family's 1533-position model. The record is from RNAcentral.
GGGGGAAUAUUGCACAAUGGGCGAAAGCCUGAUGGAGCAACACCGCGUGAGUGAAGAAGGGUUUCGGCUCGUAAAGCUCUGUUGUUGGAGAAGAACGUGCGUGAGAGUAACUGUUCACGCAGUGACGGUAUCCAACCAGAAAGUCACGGCUAACUACGGUCCAGCAGCCGCGGUAAUACGUAGGUGGCAAGCGUUAUCCGGAUUUAUUGGGCGUAAAGCGAGCGCAGGCGGUUGCUUAGGUCUGAUGUGAAAGCCUUCGGCUUAACCGAAGAAGUGCAUCGGAAACCGGGCGACUUGAGCGCAGAAGAGGACAGUGGAACUCCAUGUGUAGCGGUGGAAUGCGUAGAUAUAUGGAAGAACACCAGUGGCGAAGGCGGCUGUCUGGUCUGCAACUGACGCUGAGGCUCGAAAGCAUGGGUAGCGAACAGG